UGGGGAAUAUUGCACAAUGGGCGAAAGCCUGAUGCAGCAACGCCGCGUGAGUGAUGAAGGCCUUCGGGUUGUAAAGCUCUGUCUUUUGGGACGAUAAUGACGGUACCAAAGGAGGAAGCCACGGCUAACUACGUGCCAGCAGCCGCGGUAAUACGUAGGUGGCAAGCGUUGUCCGGAUUUACUGGGCGUAAAGGAUGCGUAGGCGGAUUUUUAAGUGAGAUGUGAAAUACCCGGGCUUAACUUGGGUGUUGCAUUUCAAACUGGGAAUCUAGAGUGCGGGAGAGGAGAAUGGAAUUCCUAGUGUAGCGGUGAAAUGCGUAGAGAUUAGGAAGAACACCAGUGGCGAAGGCGAUUCUCUGGACCGUAACUGACGCUGAGGCAUGAAAGCGUGGGUAGCAAACAGGAUUAGAUACCCUGGUAGUCCACGCCGUAAACGAUGAGUACUAGGUGUAGGAGGUAUCGACCCCUUCUGUGCCGCAGUUAACACAAUAAGUACUCCGCCUGGAAGUACGAUCGCAAGAUUAAACUUAAAUGAAUUGACGGGGUCAUAGCUG
RNAcentral lists this ribosomal RNA (554 nucleotides) under uncultured bacterium. Its description in RNAcentral is "partial 16S ribosomal RNA". It matches the Rfam family "Bacterial small subunit ribosomal RNA", at positions 355 to 932 of the family's 1533-position model. The record is from RNAcentral.